CCUACGGGUGGCAGCAGUAGGGAAUCUUCCACAAUGGACGCAAGUCUGAUGGAGCAACGCCGCGUGAGUGAAGAAGGGUUUCGGCUCGUAAAGCUCUGUUGGUAGUGAAGAAAGAUAGAGGUAGUAACUGGCCUUUAUUUGACGGUAAUUACUUAGAAAGUCACGGCUAACUACGUGCCAGCAGCCGCGGUAAUACGGGGGAUGCAAGCGUUAUCCGGAUUUAUUGGGUUUAAAGGGUGCGUAGGCUGUGAGGUAAGUCAGCGGUGAAAUGCCCCCGCUCAACGGGGUGAAGUGCCAUUGAUACUGCCUUGCUGGAAUGCGGAUGCCGUGGGAGGAAUGUGUGGUGUAGCGGUGAAAUGCAUAGAUAUCACACAGAACACCGAUUGCGAAGGCAUCUCACGAAGCCGCGAUUGACGCUGAUGCACGAAAGCGUGGGUAUCAAACAGGAUUAGAUACCCCAGUAGUC
This 466-nucleotide ribosomal RNA is filed under the name uncultured bacterium. Its description in RNAcentral is "partial 16S ribosomal RNA". It matches the Rfam family "Bacterial small subunit ribosomal RNA", at positions 338 to 795 of the family's 1533-position model. The record is from RNAcentral.